RNAcentral lists this ribosomal RNA (403 nucleotides) under bacterium. RNAcentral describes it as "partial 16S ribosomal RNA". It matches the Rfam family "Bacterial small subunit ribosomal RNA", at positions 355 to 776 of the family's 1533-position model. The record is from RNAcentral.
UGGGGAAUAUUGCACAAUGGGGGAAACCCUGAUGCAGCGACGCCGCGUGAACGAAGAAGGUAUUCGUAUCGUAAAGUUCUGUCCUAUGGGAAGAUAAUGACAGUACCAUAGAAGAAAGCUACGGCUAAAUACGUGCCAGCAGCCGCGGUAAUACGUAUGGAGCGAGCGUUGUCCGGAAUUAUUGGGCGUAAAGGGUACGCAGGCGGUUUAAUAAGUCGAAUGUUAAAGAUCGGGGCUCAACCCCGCAAAGCAUUGGAAACUGAUAAACUUGAGUAGUGGAGAGGAAAGUGGAAUUCCUAGUGUAGUGGUGAAAUACGUAGAUAUUAGGAGGAAUACCAGUAGCGAAGGCGACUUUCUGGACACAAACUGACGCUGAGGUACGAAAGCGUGGGGAGCAAACAGG